AUUGAACGCUGGCGGCAGGCCUUACACAUGCAAGUCGAACGGCAGCAUGAUCUAAGUUUCCUGUUUCAGGUCGCGUGUCGCGCGCGUGUGUAAUAUACCUCGGCGUCUCCUUUUUCGUGGGAUAUCUCGUCGAACAACUUACUCUUACAGCAUAUACCCUCUACGUGUGAAAGCAGGUGAUCUUGGCCCCUUGCUCUAUUGUCUGCCCCGAUGUCUGAUUAGCUUUUUGGCGGGGUAAAGGCCCACCAAGGCGACGAUCCGUAGCUGGUCUGAGAGGACGAUCAGCCACACUGGGACUGAGACACGGUCCAGACUCCUACGGGAGGCAGCAGUGGGGAAUAUUGGACAAUGGGCGAAAGCCUGAUCCAGCAAUGCCGCGUGUGUGAAGAAGGCCUUCGGGUUGUAAAGCACUUUUGUCGGGAAAGAAAAGGAGCAGGUUAAUACCUGGGGUCGAUGACGGUACCGAAAGAAUAAGCACCGGCUAACUACGUG
Molecule: ribosomal RNA, 492 nt
Filed under: uncultured bacterium
Lineage: Bacteria
Description: partial 16S ribosomal RNA
Rfam family: Bacterial small subunit ribosomal RNA
Source: RNAcentral